This 499-nucleotide ribosomal RNA is filed under the name uncultured bacterium. RNAcentral describes it as "partial 16S ribosomal RNA". It matches the Rfam family "Bacterial small subunit ribosomal RNA", at positions 28 to 507 of the family's 1533-position model. The record is from RNAcentral.
GACGAACGCUGGCGGCGUGCCUAACACAUGCAAGUCGAGCGAAAUUUUUCUGGUUCUUCCACUGGAAAAACUUAGCGGCGAACGUGUGAGUAACACGUCUACAACCUGCUUCAUAGACAGGGACAACUAUUGGCAACGAUAUCUAAUACUGCAUAACAGCAUUAACUGCAGGUCUUAUGUUCACAAGUUCGUUUUUCUAACACUAUCAGAUGGCUUUGCGGUGCAUUAGCUAGCUGGUGGGGUAAAGGCCUACCAAGGCGACGAUGCAUAGCCGACCUGAGAGGGUGAUCAAGCACACUGGGACUGAGAAACGGCCCAGACUCCUACGGGAGGCAGCAGUAGGGAAUAUUCCGCAAUGGGCGAAAGCCUGACGGAGCAAAGCCGCGUGGGUGAAGAAGGAUUUCGGUUCGUAAAGAUCUGUUGUUAGGGAAGAAUGACUGUGUAGUAACUAUACGCAGUUGAGACGGUACCGAAAGAGAAAGCCACGGCUAACUACGUG